Molecule: transfer RNA, 83 nt
Filed under: Wolfiporia cocos MD-104 SS10
Lineage: Eukaryota; Fungi; Basidiomycota; Agaricomycetes; Polyporales; Phaeolaceae
Description: tRNA-Trp
Rfam family: tRNA
About the family: Transfer RNA (tRNA) molecules are approximately 80 nucleotides in length. Their secondary structure includes four short double-helical elements and three loops (D, anti-codon, and T loops). Further hydrogen bonds mediate the characteristic L-shaped molecular structure. tRNAs have two regions of fundamental functional importance: the anti-codon, which is responsible for specific mRNA codon recognition, and the 3' end, to which the tRNAs corresponding amino acid is attached (by aminoacyl-tRNA synthetases). tRNAs cope with the degeneracy of the genetic code in two manners: having more than one tRNA (with a specific anti-codon) for a particular amino acid; and 'wobble' base-pairing, i.e. permitting non-standard base-pairing at the 3rd anti-codon position.
Source: RNAcentral
GAGCCCAUGGCGCAGCGGUAGCGCGUGAGAUUCCAGCAAAUGGGAAAUCCUCAAGGUCAUCCGUUCAAAUCGGGUUGGGCUCA